This 430-nucleotide ribosomal RNA is filed under the name uncultured bacterium. RNAcentral's name for it is "partial 16S ribosomal RNA". It matches the Rfam family "Bacterial small subunit ribosomal RNA", at positions 354 to 796 of the family's 1533-position model. The record is from RNAcentral.
GUGGGGAAUAUUGCACAAUGGGCGAAAGCCUGAUGCAGCAACGCCGCGUGAGGGACGACGGCCUUCGGGUUGUAAACCUCUUUUAGUAGGGAAGAAGCGAAAGUGACGGUACCUGCAGAAAAAGCACCGGCUAACUACGUGCCAGCAGCCGCGGUAAUACGUAGGGUGCAAGCGUUAUCCGGAAUUAUUGGGCGUAAAGAGCUCGUAGGCGGUCUGUCGCGUCUGCUGUGAAAACUGGAGGCGCAACCUCCAGCCUGCAGUGGGUACGGGCAGACUAGAGUGCGGUAGGGGAGAGUGGAAUUCCUGGUGUAGCGGUGGAAUGCGCAGAUAUCAGGAGGAACACCGAUGGCGAAGGCAGAUCUCUGGGCCGUAACUGACGCUGAGGAGCGAAAGCGUGGGGAGCGAACAGGAUUAGAUACCCCAGUAGUCC